UCACUCUUAGGAUCGCUAGAAGAGAGCCCAGUCGAGAAAAAGGAUUCACCAGAUAAAAGCUCAUCCAAAGGAAGAGUAUUGCAAUCCAGGAGAUCCUUAAGUCUUUUCUUUUCCUCGACACUCAACUCUACAGGUGUCAAAGAUGAAGCUUUGAUCCGACCCUAGUCCGGAAGUCCCCAAUUGUCCAUCAAAGCAUAAGAAACAAAAAAGAAAUAAUUUUUUCAUCCAUGAAUGGAUGAAGGUGCACCAG
Molecule: long non-coding RNA, 250 nt
Filed under: Elaeis guineensis (African oil palm)
Lineage: Eukaryota; Viridiplantae; Streptophyta; Magnoliopsida; Arecales; Arecaceae
Description: long non-coding RNA (EGUI_LNC005408)
Source: RNAcentral